CCUACGGGGGGCAGCAGUGGGGGAUAUUGCACAAUGGAGGGAACCCUGAUGCAGCGACGCCGCGUGGGUGAAGGAGUGCUUCGGCAUGUAAAGCUCUAUCGGCAGGGAAGAAGCAAGACGGUACCUGACUAAGAAGCCCCGGCUAACUACGUGCCAGCAGCCGCGGUAAUACGGAGGGGGCGAGCGUUAUCCGGAUUCCCUGGGUGUAAGGGGAGCGUAGACGGCCAUGCAAGCCAGGGGUGAAAGCCUGGGGCCCAACCGCGGGACUGCACUUGGAACUGCAUGGCUGGAGUGCGGGAGGGGCAGGCGGAAUUCCUGGUGUAGCGGUGAAAUGCGUAGAUAUCAGGAGGAACACCGGCGGCGAAGGCGGUCUGCUGGACUGCGACUGACGUUGAGGCUCGAAAGCGUGGGGAGCGAACAGGAUUAGAUACCCGGGUAGUC
Molecule: ribosomal RNA, 441 nt
Filed under: uncultured bacterium
Lineage: Bacteria
Description: partial 16S ribosomal RNA
Rfam family: Bacterial small subunit ribosomal RNA
Source: RNAcentral